RNAcentral lists this ribosomal RNA (253 nucleotides) under uncultured bacterium. RNAcentral describes it as "partial 16S ribosomal RNA". It matches the Rfam family "Bacterial small subunit ribosomal RNA", at positions 524 to 776 of the family's 1533-position model. The record is from RNAcentral.
UACAGAGGUCCCAAGCGUUGUUCGGAUUCACUGGGCGUAAAGGGUGCGUAGGUGGCGAGGUAAGUCGGAUGUGAAAGCUCGGAGCUCAACUCCGAAAUGGCAUUGGAAACUACCUUGCUCGAGGGUUGGAAGGGGGACUGGAAUACUUGGUGUAGCAGUGAAAUGCGUAGAUAUCAAGUGGAACACCAGUGGCGAAGGCGAGUCCCUGGACAACUCCUGACACUGAGGCACGAAAGCUAGGGGAGCAAACAGG